This 774-nucleotide ribosomal RNA is filed under the name Heyndrickxia shackletonii. RNAcentral's name for it is "bacterial SSU rRNA". It matches the Rfam family "Bacterial small subunit ribosomal RNA", at positions 61 to 817 of the family's 1533-position model. The record is from RNAcentral. Lineage: Bacteria; Bacillati; Bacillota; Bacilli; Caryophanales; Bacillaceae.
GUCGAGCGGACUUUUAAAAGCUUGCUUUUAAAAGUUAGCGGCGGACGGGUGAGUAACACGUGGGUAACCUGCCUGUAAGACUGGGAUAACUCCGGGAAACCGGGGCUAAUACCGGAUAACUUUUUUCCUCGCAUGAGGAAAAAUUGAAAGAUGGCUUCGGCUAUCACUUACAGAUGGACCCGCGGCGCAUUAGCUAGUUGGUGAGGUAACGGCUCACCAAGGCAACGAUGCGUAGCCGACCUGAGAGGGUGAUCGGCCACACUGGGACUGAGACACGGCCCAGACUCCUACGGGAGGCAGCAGUAGGGAAUCUUCCGCAAUGGACGAAAGUCUGACGGAGCAACGCCGCGUGAGUGAUGAAGGUCUUCGGAUCGUAAAACUCUGUUGUUAGAGAAGAACAAGUACCGUUCGAAUAGGGCGGUACCUUGACGGUACCUAACCAGAAAGCCACGGCUAACUACGUGCCAGCAGCCGCGGUAAUACGUAGGUGGCAAGCGUUGUCCGGAAUUAUUGGGCGUAAAGCGCGCGCAGGCGGUUUCUUAAGUCUGAUGUGAAAGCCCACGGCUCAACCGUGGAGGGUCAUUGGAAACUGGGAGACUUGAGUGCAGAAGAGGAGAGUGGAAUUCCACGUGUAGCGGUGAAAUGCGUAGAGAUGUGGAGGAACACCAGUGGCGAAGGCGACUCUCUGGUCUGUAACUGACGCUGAGGCGCGAAAGCGUGGGGAGCGAACAGGAUUAGAUACCCUGGUAGUCCACGCCGUAAACGAUGAGUGCU